Molecule: ribosomal RNA, 460 nt
Filed under: uncultured bacterium
Lineage: Bacteria
Description: partial 16S ribosomal RNA
Rfam family: Bacterial small subunit ribosomal RNA
Source: RNAcentral
CCUACGGGAGGCAGCAGUGAGGAAUAUUGGUCAAUGGACGAGAGUCUGAACCAGCCAAGUAGCGUGAAGGAUGACUGCCCUAUGGGUUGUAAACUUCUUUUAUAAAGGAAUAAAACGAGGCACGUGUGCCUUUUUGCAUGUACUUUAUGAAUAAGGAUCGGCUAACUCCGUGCCAGCAGCCGCGGUAAUACGGAGGAUCCGAGCGUUAUCCGGAUUUAUUGGGUUUAAAGGGGGCGUAGAUGGGUUGUUAAGUCAGUUGUGAAAUUUUGCGGCUCAACCGUAAAAUUGCAAUUGAUACGGGCAGUCUUGAGUACAGUUGAGGUAGGCGGAAUUCGUGGUGUAGCGGUGAAAUGCUUAGAUAUCACGAAGAACCCCGAUUGCGAAGGCAGCUUACUAAACUGUGACUGACAUUGAUGCUCGAAAGUGUGGGUAUCAAACAGGAUUAGAUACCCGGGUAGUC